CCGUGCCGGAGGGAGAAGGCCCGAACAGGCCAAACAGCUGGCCGAACAGCAAGUGGCGGCAUAAAGGGAGGCCAGCAGGGGGAGGGGGAACCUCCGUGAACCCCCUGCUGCCUCCAACAACUUCCUCAAAGGGGAUCAUUAUUAUGCAUCAUUAGGGAAAAUGUCCCAUACCAGCCCAAAAUAAAUGUCUUUCUCAGUGAGGAAACCUUUAUUAUUACAAAAAAUGAAAUGUUUCUAAAGGAAAGUCUUUGGGACAACUGAAUUACAUUCCAUUUGAUAAAAAUUGGGUGAGCUCUGAAGAACUUUGUUAACUUAAAUG
This is a long non-coding RNA of Hemicordylus capensis (graceful crag lizard), 319 nucleotides long. RefSeq lists it as uncharacterized. The record is from RefSeq and is a predicted model, not a curated record. The transcript has 3 exons. Lineage: Eukaryota; Metazoa; Chordata; Lepidosauria; Squamata; Cordylidae.